GUGUACCUCCUGAGCAUGUCAUUAGCUUCAUCUCUCUCCAUGAAGAAGACAACCCUGUCUUCGGGAGCAAGGCCUUUCUGCUCUACAAAACGAUGCCAAGAAGAGCGUAGAAGAACGGGUUUUGGGUAAGCUCCAGUCAUACGGGUUGAGAGACAAAACCUCCAUGCAUUAUCAGUAGCAUCGACUGCUUCAAAAUUCAUCAUAUGGGCUUCUUCAGGAAUUGGAAAAGCCUCAAGGACAUGGGUUGGAAUUGAAAGAGCAUGGCUUAUGUGGGAUGGUUUUAGUUUCUUCGUGAAGAGAUGUACUGGUUCCAUUCUUUUUCAGGAGAUACAAGAGUUUCUGUGAAGAGAGAAGGCUAGUGUUGGAGCAGAGAUUAGCUCUAUU
RNAcentral lists this long non-coding RNA (384 nucleotides) under Populus trichocarpa (black cottonwood). Its description in RNAcentral is "long non-coding RNA (PTRI_LNC004758)". Lineage: Eukaryota; Viridiplantae; Streptophyta; Magnoliopsida; Malpighiales; Salicaceae. The record is from RNAcentral.